RNAcentral lists this ribosomal RNA (484 nucleotides) under uncultured bacterium. Its description in RNAcentral is "partial 16S ribosomal RNA". It matches the Rfam family "Bacterial small subunit ribosomal RNA", at positions 30 to 507 of the family's 1533-position model. The record is from RNAcentral.
AUUGAACGCUGGCGGCAGGCCUAACACAUGCAAGUCGAGCGGAUGAAGGGAGCUUGCUCCUGGAUUCAGCGGCGGACGGGUGAGUAAUGCCUAGGAAUCUGCCUGGUAGUGGGGGAUAACGUCCGGAAACGGGCGCUAAUACCGCAUACGUCCUGAGGGAGAAAGUGGGGGAUCUUCGGACCUCACGCUAUCAGAUGAGCCUAGGUCGGAUUAGCUAGUUGGUGGGGUAAAGGCCUACCAAGGCGACGAUCCGUAACUGGUCUGAGAGGAUGAUCAGUCACACUGGAACUGAGACACGGUCCAGACUCCUACGGGAGGCAGCAGUGGGGAAUAUUGGACAAUGGGCGAAAGCCUGAUCCAGCCAUGCCGCGUGUGUGAAGAAGGUCUUCGGAUUGUAAAGCACUUUAAGUUGGGAGGAAGGGCAGUAUGUUAAUACCUUGCUGUUUUGACGUUACCAACAGAAUAAGCACCGGCUAACUUCGUG